This 384-nucleotide ribosomal RNA is filed under the name Hyalomma kumari. RNAcentral describes it as "partial large subunit ribosomal RNA". The stretch from base 253 to 384 matches the Rfam family "Archaeal large subunit ribosomal RNA", at positions 2542 to 2674 of the family's 2987-position model. Lineage: Eukaryota; Metazoa; Arthropoda; Arachnida; Ixodida; Ixodidae. The record is from RNAcentral.
AUUUUAAUUGAAUGCUAAGAGAAUGAAGAUUUAGAAAAAAGCUUUCUUAAAAAUAAAAAUUAAAAUUUUUUUAAUUUGUGCAAAAACAAUUAUUUUCAUUAAAGACAAGAAGACCCUAAGAAUUUUUUAAUUUAAUAAUUUCUAAUAGAGUUACUUAUUAAAUAUUGAUUGGGGUAAUCAAAAAAUAUUAAUAACUUUUUAAUAAAUUAAAAUGACCCAUUAUUAAUGACUUUUUGAAAUAAAUACUCUAGGGAUAACAGCGUAAUAAUUUUUGAUAGAUCAUAUUGACAAAAUAGUUUGCGACCUCGAUGUUGGAUUAGGAUGCUUUUUUAAUGAAGAAAUUAAAAGAAGAAGUUUGUUCAACUUUUGAAAUCCUACUUGAUC